CCCUAUGGGGUGCCUCUCACCUGUAUAUUCAUGAUCACGGAGAUGACCGGCAACUAUGGUGGCUUGCCGUCUCUGAUUAUUUGUUGCAUCACCAGCUAUACCGUGGCUCGCAUUCUGUUGAAGGGUGGGUCCAUUUACACUAUCAAGCUGAUGAGAAAGGGCAUUUAUCUCGAUCUUCCCCAGCCGGUGCUCUCCGAAGUAUCGGUGGGGGAGGCGAUGCACAAAGAGGUGAUCGCCGUCAGCCCUCUCUGCAGGAUCUCGGAGGUGAGAGAUGGCAUCUACCGUUACAACUAUACUGGUUUCCCCGUGGUGGAUGAAGGCCGUCUGGUGGGGAUGAUAACCUUUGAUGAUAUCAGGAGAAUUCCCCCGCAUGAGCAGGAGAAGAUGACAGUAAAUGAAUUGGCGGGGGAGC
Molecule: ribosomal RNA, 412 nt
Filed under: uncultured prokaryote
Description: partial 16S ribosomal RNA
Source: RNAcentral